This 254-nucleotide ribosomal RNA is filed under the name uncultured bacterium. Its description in RNAcentral is "partial 16S ribosomal RNA". It matches the Rfam family "Bacterial small subunit ribosomal RNA", at positions 524 to 776 of the family's 1533-position model. The record is from RNAcentral.
CACGUAGGGCGCGAGCGUUGUCCGGAUUUAUUGGGCGUAAAGAGCUCGUAGGCGGUUCGGUAAGUCGGAUGUGAAAUCUCCACGCUCAACGUGGAGGGGCCAUUCGAUACUGCCGUGACUCGAGUCCGGUAGGGGAGUGUGGAAUUCCCGGUGUAGCGGUGAAAUGCGCAGAGAUCGAGAGGAACACCCGUAGCGAAGGCGGCACUCUGGGCCGGUACUGACGCUGAGGAGCGAAAGCGUGGGGAGCGAACAGG